Molecule: non-coding RNA, 77 nt
Organism: Potamilus streckersoni
Lineage: Eukaryota; Metazoa; Mollusca; Bivalvia; Unionida; Unionidae
Source: the annotation of a GenBank genome assembly
GACUGCUCAUGUGGCCUAGUGGUUAGAGCGUUCGCCUAUGAUGCGGGAAGUUGUGGGUUAGAAUUCCGGCAGAGUCA